RNAcentral lists this ribosomal RNA (628 nucleotides) under uncultured Alphaproteobacteria bacterium. Its description in RNAcentral is "bacterial SSU rRNA". It matches the Rfam family "Bacterial small subunit ribosomal RNA", at positions 61 to 735 of the family's 1533-position model. The record is from RNAcentral. Lineage: Bacteria; Pseudomonadati; Pseudomonadota; Alphaproteobacteria.
GUCGAACGGAUCCUUCGGGAUUAGUGGCGGACGGGUGAGUAACACGUGGGAACGUGCCCUUUGGUUCGGAACAACUCAGGGAAACUUGAGCUAAUACCGGAUGUGCCCUUCGGGGGAAAGAUUUAUCGCCAUUGGAGCGGCCCGCGUCUGAUUAUCUAGUUGGUGGGGUAAAGGCCCACCAAGGCGACGAUCAGUAGCUGGUCUGAGAGGAUGAUCAGCCACAUUGGGACUGAGACACGGCCCAAACUCCUACGGGAGGCAGCAGUGGGGAAUCUUGCGCAAUGGGCGAAAGCCUGACGCAGCCAUGCCGCGUGAAUGAUGAAGGUCUUAGGAUUGUAAAAUUCUUUCACCGGGGACGAUAAUGACGGUACCCGGAGAAGAAGCCUCGGCUAACUUCGUGCCAGCAGCCGCGGUAAUACGAAGGGGGCUAGCGUUGUUCGGAAUUACUGGGCGUAAAGGGAGCGUAGGCGGACUGUUAAGUUAGAGGUGAAAGCCCAGGGCUCAACCUUGGAAUUGCAUUUGAUACUGGCAGUCUUGAGUACGGAAGAGGUAUGUGGAACUCCGAGUGUAGAGGUGAAAUUCGUAGAUAUUCGGAAGAACACCAGUGGCGAAGGCGACAUACUGGUCC